RNAcentral lists this ribosomal RNA (497 nucleotides) under uncultured bacterium. RNAcentral's name for it is "partial 16S ribosomal RNA". It matches the Rfam family "Bacterial small subunit ribosomal RNA", at positions 28 to 507 of the family's 1533-position model. The record is from RNAcentral.
GAUGAACGCUGGCGGCGUGCCUAAUACAUGCAAGUCGAGCUAACAGACGAGGAGCUUGCUCCUCUGACGUUAGCGGCGUACGGGUUAGUAACACGUUGAUAACCUACCUAUAAGACUGGGAUAACUUCGUGAAACCGGAGCUAAUACCGGAUAAUAUAUUGAACCGCAUGGUUCAAUAGUUAAAGACGGUUUUGCUGUCACUUAUAGAUGGAUCCGCGCCGCAUUACCUAGUUGGUAGGGUAACGGCUUACCAAGGCAACGAUUCAUAGCCGACCUGAGAGGGUAAUCGGCCACACGAGAACUGAGACAGGGGCCAGAGGCCUAGGGGAGGAAGCAGAAGGGAAGCUUCCGAAAUGGGGAAAGGCCUGAGGGAGCAAAGCGGCUUGAGGGAUGAAGGUCUAGGGAUAGAAAAACAUGGUAAUUAGAAAAAAACAAAAGUAAAAGUAAGAAUGAACGUCUUGGCGGUACCAAAUAAGAAAGCCACGGCUAACUAAGAG